ACGCUCGACACCUACGGGAGGCAGCAGUCGGGAAUAUUGCGCAAUGGAGGAAACUCUGACGCAGUGACGCCGCGUGCAGGAAGAAGGUUUUCGGAUUGUAAACUGCUUUAGACAGGGAAGAAAAAGGACAGUACCUGUAGAAUAAGCUCCGGCUAACUACGUGCCAGUAGCCGCGGUAAUCUGAGCGGGCUGGCAAGGC
This 199-nucleotide ribosomal RNA is filed under the name uncultured bacterium. Its description in RNAcentral is "partial 16S ribosomal RNA". It matches the Rfam family "Bacterial small subunit ribosomal RNA", at positions 328 to 539 of the family's 1533-position model. The record is from RNAcentral.